Trifolium pratense (red clover) is the source of this 2302-nucleotide RNA transcript. RefSeq lists it as uncharacterized. The record is from RefSeq and is a predicted model, not a curated record. The transcript is spliced from 3 exons. NCBI's taxonomy places the organism in Eukaryota, Viridiplantae, Streptophyta, Magnoliopsida, Fabales, Fabaceae.
UAUUUUUCACUCUCAGUAAAACUCACCCCUAACUUCUCUUCUCCCUCGAAGAAACUCCACUUUUUCAAUUUCAACUUAAUGGAAUCUUAAGAGCAAGAUUAAAGGUCUGGUUUUGGAAGAAACAAUCAAAGUGAAGGGAUUAAUGACCAAAGUACAUGUAUUGAAGUCGGUAAACGCUUCUGAAGUCAGGGUGCUGAUGCUGUCAAAAUUCUGGUUUUGGGACUGUGGGUUUGCCCUUCAAGCGGCACGAACGGAUGUUCGAGAGCGUACAGAACAGCUCGGUGAUGCUGGAAAUCUCAGGUGGGUUUGUUUAAGUAGAGACAUGGCAACCAUAAGUCCAAAGCAUAGGAUUUUAAUUUAUUUUCAUGUUGGUAUAUGAUUAAUAACCUAGAUAACUCAUAAAUGAAUUAAUUAUGACUGUGUUGGUUGUAUCUAUGAUUGAUGGUUAAGGUCUUAUAAAUGAUUAGAGACAAUUAGGGACUGCUUUGUAACUCUGUUUAUUGAUUUUGCAGUUUUGCACGAAAACUUGCAUCGGUGCAAGGCUUGGUCGAAUCGGUUCAACCAACUCAGAACAAGUACAAUGGGUAAAACUGGGCCUAUUGAGUCGGUGCGUCAUAAUGAUGAACCGGUGCAAGAGGUGCCAGAGUUACAGGUUGGAAAUUCUGGGCAAAUUGAACCGGUGUGAGCAUGGCUUGAGUCAGUGCAAGAAUCCCAGGAAAACAAAAUAGUUUCUAAGUAUUUAUGUAAUUAAUGUGAGUAAGACCAACGUGGCAUAGCUAUGUCACAACGGGUAGUGGAGAACAUCCUAAGAGGAGUACAUCCUUAGUGGACCUUUCGAGAUAUACUCACCUCGGAAGCUUACUGUAAAAUGAACAAGAUUAUUCUAGAUAAAUCAAUAUGAGUAAAAGAUCAGUUUUAAUUCCGCAAUUUUAAUGUUUCCCGAUUCAAUUAUGUAUAUUCCUAUUGAUUCUCUAGAUAAAUCAAUAUGAGGUGUAAUAGAAUGUAUCACUAGUGAUGGAUAGAAGAUCUGAGGCGAAUGUCAUAAGGCGAAGAUCUGAGGCGAAUGGACAUUGGAUCAGGUAGGAUACUAUAUUAUGUUACCACAAUAUACUCAGAUAGUACCAUUUCUUGUAUUUAUUGUCUCCAUGACUCCACUUCAAAUUCCAUUCUUCACACGAUACAGAACAUUCAGCUGGCCCUAAUUCAUUUCCAUAUAAGACCACAAAUAUGAUGCCAUUUUUGUUGAGUCACCUUUGGACUCUGCUUGUAUUACGCGAACUAUUCUGUAAUUGCAUUGAUGAUAUCACCAUCUAAUUCGGGAUUCGACAUUUUCAUUUCUAUAGUGAUGUGCUUUUGGUCUGUAGCAUAAUCUUAAAAGCAGGCUGUUGUGCAGUCCAAGUUACUAAGUGCUAGGGGUGCAGAAGUGGAUUGGUAGCUAUUAAUAAGACACCAGAAACAUUGCCCUUGAGAAACUUCUUGUUGAUUGUUGGUGGGUGUAGCUGAUGUUAGUCUUAUUGUGAAGUGUUCAGAAUACAGUCCUUGUUAAAUGGUAAAUUUGAAACUUAUAUUUGUGUACCUUUCCUUCUACACUUUGCUUGCAUACAGAGAACCAAAAAGGCAAACUUCAGAUCAUACAGGCAUGUCUAACGACUGUUUCAAGAGCGGCAAUAUAGAUUCUGGUGGUACCAAGCUUUAUGGCAGAAAAGUGUGGGGUGAAAGAUGAUGGGUCUACAUCAAAAAAAUCACAUAUCUGAAGCUGAUAAUGAACUCAGCUUUCUUGAUAAUGAUGGGUGGCUGGAUAUAGGAGACUUAGAAGAUGUUGACAGGAUGUUGUCAGAAACCCUCCAAUUUAAUAGAAAAGCUGUGAUUUAACAUUUGGAAUGGGGAGUCUCACUAAUGAAGAGGAGUUCUGCUGGUUUUCUUCUUCACACAGUGCUGAAGGUUCAGAUGAUGCAUUAAUGUCCGACUUAAAGCUUCAUUGUGCUGACAUGAGUCCAUUGAAAAAUAUAUCUGAAUACAAUAUGGAUUCAUCCAAGGACAACAUUGAAGUUCUUCCGAUCGGUAUAUUCUAGAAUAAUGUUUUUAUGGUAUAAUCUAGAAUGGGAUUCGGUCGGUCUCUGAAUAUGAUCAUUUUUAUGGUAUAUUCAUGACCUAAUUUUUUUAAAUCCUGGUUAUAGUUGUAACUAAUACUGAGUUUGUAUUUAGGGAAAUCUAGUAAUCACCCCAUUCGUUGUGAAUAAUGUUUUUUCAUGUUUCACUAUUUUCACUUAAUGGGAACUUGUGUUUGACCUUUAUGCAGGAC